GUUUCUUGAAAUUCUUGGAAUUUUUUCUGUGCAUCUGGGCUUUGCUUCCAGUUCAUUCCAUUGGUGUCACAGGAUGACUAGAGUGUGGUGGUGAGUUCUGAAGGUGUUAGGGUUGCAGAAUUGGAGGAUCAAUUUAGGGUUUUGCAAUCAGUGGUUCAUAAGAAUACUGAAGAUCUUAAAAUCUUGAAGGAAAAAAAUGAAAAAAACUACUGAAUAAAUAAGGAAAAAAACAGUAAAGAAAGUGAUGAAUUUAGGGAUGAAGGGCUUUUAUGAUUAUCAUGUUGCAAGAAAGGAAGGGCAAGGGAAAAGAAGGCUGUAGUGGAAGUGGGAAAGUUUUGGAGAAAGGAAAUAGUUUUGGUUCACAAGGAGAUAGUGGAAUACAAGCUAACGGCAUUCUUCUUACCCUGAAGUAGAUUAUUCCUAACAUUGGCAGUACUGGAUCCGGAUCUGUGAAUGAUUCAGGUUAUCUUGAGAAAAUUCUCCCUAAAAUUGAGUUGAGUAUUUCUGAUGGCAGUGAUCCUAGGGUUUGGAUUAGGAA
RNAcentral lists this unclassified non-coding RNA (538 nucleotides) under Hevea brasiliensis (rubber tree). The record is from RNAcentral. Lineage: Eukaryota; Viridiplantae; Streptophyta; Magnoliopsida; Malpighiales; Euphorbiaceae.